Glossina pallidipes is the source of this 437-nucleotide non-coding RNA. The record is from Rfam. NCBI's taxonomy places the organism in Eukaryota, Metazoa, Arthropoda, Insecta, Diptera, Glossinidae.
CGGAAAAUUAAAUCCAUAACUUUGGGCAAGGAUUGGCUCUGAAGUUUUAGAUAGUCGGACAUGUUUGGGAGGCAAUAAUAUGGUUUAUGUACUCGGUCUGGGUAAAUAGAGAGAUUUACUAAUAACAAUUAUGUAACUAAUUGUGGAAGUUUCUUGCUGAAAUUUUUAAGAAAUUAUCGCAACAUAUAUCUUUUUUAAAUCAUAACGAUUAUCAAUUCAGAACUGGCGUGUACUUGGAGAAUACGACUCUCCACUUAAAAGAAAGCGUUGUGAUGGCACUAACGGGUGUUGACACUAUGUAAUUUCUGCCCAAUGCUUUGAAUAAAGUGCAGAAACUCAAGUAACCGCGAGAAACGACGGAAAAAAGUAUGCGAUGAAUAUAUUAUCUCUCAGGUCUAGUGGUUAUUGUCUUAAACGAAGUUUCGAGGUUUCUAUUA